AGUCACCAUUUGAAACCUCUAGAAAGACAAAUAUUUAGGAACGGAGGGAGUACAUGAUUAGGAAAACUCAUGUAAAGCUGACUGUUUGGUCCAGGUGGUAUGGUCCUUAAAUCGUAACAGGGGAUCAUAACAGGGUAAAUACCCGGAGAAUAGCUGUGUCAAAAAUCUAUGCAUCACCGAUACGGGGUUAUGGAUAUGAGUAUGGGGACACGUGAUAUGACAUUUAAAAAAACAGUCAUUUGGGGAUACAGCAGGGUAUAUAAGUAUUCAGAAAAUGGAUCUGAAUAUCUAGCGAACGUCAGAUUUUUAGGCAUGGCAAACGAAAGUUUUUCAUGGCAAAUUAUGUUUGCCGAGGAAGGCAAGUUUAGUUGGUGAGCAUGGCAAAUCCGCCUCAGUUCAUUUAUUUGCUAGGAAAUUACCGUGCUUGCAAACUAAAUUUGCCAACCUCGCGCCAAUAUAAAUUGCCAUGUAAAAUGUUUGAUUUACCAUGUCCAAAAUUUUGAUGUCAGAUUUUUAGGAUUUGCGUAGAAAAAUAAACAUCAGGUAAUAAAGAUUUAAUGAUAAUUUUUAGAUUUUUUUUUGAGGGACUGAUAAUUUUUAGAUGGGAGAUUUUUUAGUUAGUGUCGUGGGGAGAGCUGGGCUUGCGGGAAAUGACGGUGGCGUGCCGGCGACCAGAGAAGUUCUAGGUGCUGGCGAAUGGGUCUCUGGAGGCUGACUCUCGAGUCCCCACCACGUCCACAACGUAUCUAAGCCGUAUCCCGAUUUGUUCCCCUUUUUUAAAUUCAAAACACAUGGAAUACUGCAGGAUACGUGUAUUCCAACGUAUCCGCACGUAUCCCCGUACCCCUCCCCCCUUGGGUACUAGGACGCCAAUUCGGCUAAAUCUGACGUAUCAGUGCUUCUUACAUAAAACUAAUAUACUGAAGUUGACGCAGAAUAUAUACCAAUUUCCAUAGUUUAUUUUUUCUUAACAUGCACCAAAUGCGUGUCGUUUUGUAUCAGAAGAAUAAUGCCAAAAGGCACAAAGAUUUACAAGGGUGAACCUGCAAAACCAAAAAGAUCCAAACAGCCUAUGCUAGCCAAUAACCUACUCCCUCCGUCCCAUAAUGUAAGAUGUUUUUUUCCACUACACUAGUGGCAAAAAACGUCUUACAUUAUGGGAUGGAGGGAGUAAAAGUUAGCCACAGCAAACUAUUAAGAAGAAUAAACAGCUACCGCUAAACUACUGCAGGUCAGUGGCAGGCUCCUGAGGGCUUUGUCACCUGGCCCAAUGGUUUUUAAUUGCUUAGUGAACAUAGAGUAGUGUGCUAGCGCACUAUAUUGAUGAGAUUCCAAUGCCUCGUAUACAGGACCAAAUCUUAAUCAUACCCCUAAGCGAUAGAACUAAUCUGUUUUUUUAUAUCUAGUAGAUACAACAACAAAAUGUGCUAAAUAACUGAUACGAAGGAUGUCCUAGGAAGGUGUCUGCUGCUUAGGCUUCAUGUCACCUCCUUAGGCUUGGUCUGUUCCCAAUGGUGGCUACAUUACAGCAAAAACUGUAGUUAGCAGAGAUGGCUGCACAGCCUCAACAUAAGGUGGUUCUGCUUUCAGUCGGCAGCUACGCAUAUGCUCUGGAAUUCUCUUUGUACCUUGUGGUAUUGUUAGGCUAAUUCUGGUAUCAUGAUCUGUCAUCAAUGUGAAACUUCCUUGAUCAUCCUCAUUGUUGUACCUUGUGGUAUUGUUAGGCUAAUUCUGGUAUCAUGAUCUGUCAUCAAUGUGGAACUUCCUUAUCAUCCUCACUGUUGGAGGAUCUGGCGCAUGCUCACCGACUCUGUUGUCAAUUGAGCCCAGGCCUGGCACACUCCAUUUUGAAUAUCAAUAGAGCAGUAAAAAAAUGAUGGCAGAUCGGCAGUUACUGGCAAACUAGUAUUUUGCGUCAUGGCAGUAACUUGGGAGCUGGUGAAGUAGUUUGUUUAGGGGAGUUUUUCUAAAGCUUUGUAAUCCCUUCUCUAGUUAUUUUUCAUCACUUUCCUAGCUGUACACCCUGGAUGUCUGUGGGAGCGUCUCUAAGUGACCGUGACCCUGGUGACUUCCGUUCUGUCAGUUUAAACUGGUGCCCCUGUUGUACCGUUACUUUGCUUACUUUAUAAGGCAGGGCUUUAAGCUUGAUAAAAAAGCCCAGCAAACAUUUCCUGAAAUUCAGUUGGGUUAAUUGAUGUUGUUUUCAACUGCUCCAAGAUAUUGCAUAUGAAUGUUUUCUUCCAGGACCGGCUGCAUAACAAGCAAUGGCAAUAAAAAAACUAGCAAACGACAGGAACACAUCUCAUGAAAUUUGAUUGGUUUGGCAAUGCUCCAUUUUGUAAUGUUGCUCAAUAGGACGUUUUGUAUUUCUUUCUAAUGUUGCUCUGUUUUAAACUUCCUGGUUGUUUUCCUGGUUAUUUUGUAAUGUUUGGUUAAUUGAAUGUUGUUGUGCUAUUCUGGAGAACACUCUAGCUCUGUAAACUUUCUGGUCGUCGUAUCUUUUUGCCAAAGGAUGUUGUUAAUCUCAUGAGAUUUAUGAUUAUUUUGUGUAAAAAAAUUCUGUAUACAAUGUAAUUUAGGAAAAGAUGUAAUCAAUCAUUCAGAACUUCAUUUCCUUCCUUUUUGUAACAUAAUCUUCUACUGCAGUGUUAUGGAGAAACGCUUUGCUUCUCGCAUUUCUGGAGCAUGACAAUGCUUUGCAGGUUUCAUUCAUGUGAUAAUUGGUUAUUUUUAGACGAACACUAGUGUUUUACUUGCGUUUAACAUAUAUGUAACUUCUGAAAGCUAAUAUUUUCUCGGUUCUACUGUUUCGCUGAGACCUUUGUUAUUAAAGAUUUUGUAUGUAGAAAUGAGAUAUCUAAAUGUUCGUGCUAAUGUGGACCCACUCUUUGGCUGAUUCAUGCUGUGGCAAUAUAUUUUCAGAGAAACCCUUAAGAUGCUGGUGAUGACGAUCCGGUUGUCGAGACGAUAGUGAUGAUGUUCUAGUUCUGCUACUACAAUAACAUCGCUGCAACUCUAAGAAUAUUGGUUUACCAAGUCACCUGCCAAGGCAGCAGUUCGGUGAUCGAAGUUUGUUUGCCUGUGAGGUCGCAAGGAGGGGAGGUGCAGAGAAACCCUUGAGAUGCCGGUGAAGAAGAUUCGGUUGCGGAGAUGAUAGUGAUGAUUUUCUAGUCCCGCUCCUGCAAGAAAAACGGGUGCUACUCUUAAGAUUUUAGUUUUAUCAUGUCACCUGCCAAGCCAGCAGUUUGGUGAUCAAAGCCUGUUUGCCUGUUUUGGUCGACAGGAGGGGAGCUGCAGGUUUGUAUAAGGUGAACCCUUGAGAUGUUGGCAAUGGAAGAUCUGGUUGUCGAGGUGAUGGUGAUUAUGUUUUAGUUCUUAUCCGGCAAGAAUAUCAUGGCAGUUCUAAGAUUUUUGGUUAACCAAGUCGCCUGCCAAGCCAACAGUUUGGUGGUCGAAGUCUGUUUGCCUCUGAAGGUCGCCAGGACAGGAGCUGCAGGUUUGUAUAACAUAGUUUCAGUAUAACUGAAUGAGUGAGGUUGUGUUCUGACAUCAAAUUGAAAGGAGGCCUUGUCAACAUGUAAGCUAAAUGUAGACUAUUAUUGUUUUUUUCCUGCACAAUUGGUACUUUAGAGGAUACGGGUUUGAAGGGGCAGCUUCAUUGAACUGUUCUCGUUUGA
Molecule: long non-coding RNA, 3677 nt
Organism: Aegilops tauschii subsp. strangulata
Lineage: Eukaryota; Viridiplantae; Streptophyta; Magnoliopsida; Poales; Poaceae
Source: RefSeq, a predicted model, not a curated record